Oreochromis niloticus (Nile tilapia) is the source of this 2050-nucleotide long non-coding RNA. RefSeq lists it as uncharacterized. The transcript has 2 exons. NCBI's taxonomy places the organism in Eukaryota, Metazoa, Chordata, Actinopteri, Cichliformes, Cichlidae. The record is from RefSeq and is a predicted model, not a curated record.
AUGCCGUCCUUAGCCUGCAGGCAAGCGGGGCCCAUGCCGUAACCGGGGAAACUGAAGCGGCCCUCGCCCGUCUCAUCCUCCUGCAACACAGGCCAAGACUCAGGCUGUUAGGAACCAGAGAAAGACGUUACUGUUGAGAGUGGUUGGUUGUGAGUCAUCGAUUGUUACUUCGACUGAAUGGCCCGGCAGCGCCGUGGAGGGGGACGAACUCCACACAGAAAGACCCCAAAGCUCGCCGCCGAUCCAACUAGCCCAGAUGCAGAAGUCAUCGAUAGGAGCUGACGCCGGACGCCACGUGCGCUCAUCUCAACCGCCAAGGGGAGCGGGAGGACGCGGGUGAAUGGAUUUGGAUUGAUUGACGUGUGCCGUGCUCAAGGUUACAGCGCAUGCACGGCACUUUCACCCGAGCGCGGCAAGAUAUUGAAAAUCCUAUCGCCACACUCACCCUGCCUUUUCAUUACAGGAGACACAAUGACUUCCUUAUCUGGUUCAGGGACUCCAACACAAAGGCCUACAUGGGCUGAGAGACGGCGAGGGCGUGUGGGGAAACUAAACGAGGAAAAUAAACAGCACAGAAUGUCCUUCAAACUUAAAACAACACCCGUGAAAUUAAAAAUUAGGUCCAAUGAUAAGGAGUCGUCUUUGUUUGGCUUCAGAGUUUUUGAUAAAAGCCGAGGUUGUAAAGUCCACGCUUGAAUGCCAUUUGUGUUUCCCGCAGGCCACUGUGGGAGUUUGUGUGGCAGCCUAUCAGCAGGGAAUCUUUCCAGUUCAUUUUGGCUGAAAAGGAAAAAAAAAAAGCAUUUUAUGAUCGGAAAACAAGCAGGAGCAAAAUCGAAAGCAGGAGGAGGAACUGUUGGCAGCAGAAGGACCAAAGUGAUGCAAAACCUCUGCAGCAGCAACAAAUCAAGCUGCCAACCAAACAGGCGCCUCAGUUCUCUUCAGUUAGACCAGCCUCCGGUUUCUAGCAGGGGGGAGGGGCUAAAAAAGAGUCAAUAAUGAGCCUGUUUGUCCUGACAUCAUCAAUAACACAGAGAAAAGGGUUAAAAAUCCUCCAAAAACCCGAUCAAAUAAAGCAGCGCAGCCGGGGGAGGGAGAUGUACUGAGAGUGUGUGUGAGUGUGUGUGUGUGUGCGUGCGUGAGUGUUAGACCACCAGGUAACGAUCCAUUUUUAGUGCCUCAUGUCCCCGUUCUGUCCUUGCAUGCACACCAAGCCAUCUAUUACUGUUAAUACAUGUACACACACACACACACACACACACACACACACACGCCCGCGCGUGCUAGAUGUCGAUACAUUAGCUGUGAUGCUAGCCGACCUCUGCCUGUCCUUCAGUGACGCUGCUAAACUAUUACAGAUGCUCUGCUUUAUUCUGCCUGCCAUGUGAUUAAUGUGGAGGGCGGAGGAACAUGAGGAGGAGACGCAAUGAGAGGAACGGUGGAGGGAGAAAGAAAAGGUGGAGUAAUGAAGAAAAGAAAGGAAGUCAGAGAAGGAGAACAAUAAGGGACAAGGGAGGAAGACCUGCAGCCUGCAGACUUGGCGAAAAGAACUCAUAAGGCCCCUGAAGGAACCCAUCAAAGAACGCCUCCGCAUGGACCAGGUGAUUCAUUACAUUUAUGCCUAAUUAUAAAAAUGUCCUCCAUUAACACACAAGCUCCAGGCCCGCAUAGUCCACGGAUGGAUGGAUGGGCAAAGGAGAAUUAAGGUUUGCCCUUUGGAUUCUAUGAAGGAGCCUCAAAAGAUCCAGCUCAUCUAACAUCUCUUCUCUGAUACAGCCCAAAAAUCGAAUCCUAACAUAUUUACACACAUACGAAAUCUGGAAAGUUAUGGACCGUGAGAUGUUUGGUCUCUGCACCGCCACAAGUGCAGACUCUGCUUUAAUCCCAGGGGGGCAAAAACAAAUAUGACAUUGACCGUUAAAGCCAGUUCACUCCAAAGGGUGCUCUUCUCUUCAUAAAUGAAGCAGAUAACAAGUCUGCUCCAAACUCGGUGUAGUAUCUACUCCAACUGUGGCAAUUACAUUUGCAAGCUGUUUGUGUAAACAAGUGCAAA